This 1699-nucleotide long non-coding RNA is filed under the name Papio anubis (olive baboon). RNAcentral's name for it is "lncRNA (ENSPANG00000038251.1)". Lineage: Eukaryota; Metazoa; Chordata; Mammalia; Primates; Cercopithecidae. The record is from RNAcentral.
UAAAAGUGUGGGCUUUCCAGAAAGAGACAACACGUUAUGAAAAAGAGAAGGAAGGUUAGUUUGCUUACAAGGACCACCUAGGAAACUUAAUCCCACCAAUACCCACUUCUGGCUGUGUGCUGUGGUUUGGUUAUUUGUCCCCUCAAAUUUCAUUUUGAAAUGUAAUCCCUAGUGUUGGAGGCAGGGCCUGGUGGGAGGUGACUGGGUCAUGUGGGUGGAUCUCUCAUGGCUUAGUGCUAUCCUAGUGAGUUCACGUAAGAGCUGGUUGUUUGUAAGUGUAUGGCACCUCACCUCCCCCCAACUCUCUCUCUCUUGCUCCUGCUCCUGCCAUGUGAGACACCUGCUCUGCCUUCAUCUUCUGCCAUGAUCGGAAGCUUCCUGAAGCCCCCCAGAAGCCAAACAGAUGCUAGCACCAUGUUUCCAGUACAGCCUGCAGAACAGUGAGGAUAUUGAGGCUCAGGAGGUGCAAAACUUGCCAGUGGCCCCACAUCCAGUAAGUAACAGGCUGAAGUUUUAAUCCCAAGGCCCACAUGCUUUAUUCAUGCUUUGCCUCAAGCUUUGGGUUAAGAAAAAAUUUCAAUUAGAAUUACACAGAUUCUGUGGAGAAAAACACAAAUCUACCUGAAAAUUCAUCAGCUAGAUGGAAUGCAGCAUGUACCUCUCUUCACCUCCCAUUGAAAUGACUUAGCAGUGUAAGUUCUUAUUUGCAAUAGACAUUGACUGAGCACCUACCACAAAGAAGGUACCAUUCUCAGGAAUGUGAAAGGCAUACAAAUAGGUUACACAUGGUGCUCUCACUUGAUACGCAAAUUUUUAUUCUUGCACAUAUUUUGUGUUCAAAAUUCCAGAGGUAGAGACCUCUGGGGUUUUGGAGCAAGGCCCCACCAUCUUCUGCAGAUAACUACUCUCCUUUUGAGAGACAGCUCUUGGCCUGUUACUGGGCUUUGGUGGAAACUGAACGUUUGACUGUGGGUCAUCAAGUCACCAUGUGACCUGAACUGCCCGUCAUGAACUGGGUGCUUUCUGACCCAUCUAGCCAUAAAGUGGGCCAUGCUCAGCAAUAUUCCAUCAUCAAAUGGAAGUAGUAUAUAAGUGAUUGGGCUUGAGCAGGUCCUGAAGGCACAAGUAAGUUACAUGAGGAAGUGGCUCAAAUGCCCAUGGUCUCCACUCCUUCCACCCUGCCUUCUCUUCUCCAGCCUGCACUGAUGGCCUCAUGGGAAGUCUCCUAUGAUUAGUUGACAGAGGAAGAAAAGACUAGGGCCUGGUUCACAGAUGAUUCUGCAUGAUAUGCAGGCACCACCCGAAAGUGGACAGCUGCAGCACUACAGCUCCUUUCCAGGACAUCCCUGAAGGACAGCAGUGAAGGGAAGUCUUCCAAGUGGGCAGAACUUCUAGUAGUGCAGCUGGUUGUGCACUUUGCAUGGAAGGAGAAAUGACCAGAUGUGUGAUUAUACACUGUUUCGUGGGCUGUAGCCAAUGGUUUGGCUGGAUGGUCAGGGACUUGGAAGAAGCAUGAUUGGAAAAUAGGUGACAGAGAAAUUUGGGGAAGACCUCUCUGAGUGGUCAAAAACUGUGAAGAUAUUUGUAUCUCAUGUCAGUGCUCACUAACAGGAGACCAGUAGAGGAGGAUUUUGAUAAUCAAGUGGAUAGGAUGACUACUUCUGUGGACACCACUUAGCCUCAUUCCUCCGGCCACCUC